UACGUAGGGACCAAGCGUUGUUCGGAUUUACUGGGCGUAAAGGGCGCGUAGGCGGCUUGACAAGUCACUUGUGAAAUCCCCGGGCUUAACUCGGAACGGCCAAGUGAAACUGUCAUGCUAGAGUGCAGAAGGGGCAAUCGGAAUUCUUGGUGUAGCGGUGAAAUGCGUAGAUAUCAAGAGGAACACCUGAGGUGAAGACGGGUUGCUGGGCUGACACUGACGCUGAGGCGCGAAAGCCAGGGGAGCAAACGGG
This 253-nucleotide ribosomal RNA is filed under the name uncultured bacterium. RNAcentral's name for it is "partial 16S ribosomal RNA". It matches the Rfam family "Bacterial small subunit ribosomal RNA", at positions 524 to 776 of the family's 1533-position model. The record is from RNAcentral.